UGAAGAGUUUGAUCAUGGCUCAGAUUGAACGUUGGCGGCAGGCCUAAGACAUGCAAGUCGAGCGGAAACGACACCUUCGGGUGGGCGUCGAGCGGCGGACGGGUGAGUAACGCGUAGGAAUCUACCCAGUAGCGGGGGAUAGCCCGGGGAAACUCGGAUUAAUACCGCAUACGCCCUACGGGGGAAAGGUGGCCUCUUCUUGAAAGCUACCGCUAUUGGAGGAGCCUGCGUUGGAUUAGCUAGUUGGUGGGGUAAUGGCCUACCAAGGCGACGAUCCAUAGCUGGUCUGAGAGGACGAUCAGCCACACUGGGACUGAGACACGGCCCAGACUCCUACGGGAGGCAGCAGCCGG
RNAcentral lists this ribosomal RNA (353 nucleotides) under Florenciella parvula. RNAcentral's name for it is "partial Bacterial small subunit ribosomal RNA". It matches the Rfam family "Bacterial small subunit ribosomal RNA", at positions 1 to 358 of the family's 1533-position model. The record is from RNAcentral. Lineage: Eukaryota; Dictyochophyceae; Florenciellales.